UGGGGAAUCUUGGACAAUGGGCGCAAGCCUGAUCCAGCCAUGCCGCGUGGAUGAUGAAGGCCUUAGGGUUGUAAAAUCCUUUCGCCGAGGACGAUAAUGACGGUACUCGGAGAAGAAGCUCCGGCUAACUUCGUGCCAGCAGCCGCGGUAAUACGAAGGGGGCUAGCGUUGUUCGGAUUUACUGGGCGUAAAGCGCGUGUAGGCGGGUCGUUAAGUUGGGGGUGAAAUCCCGAGGCUCAACCUCGGAACUGCCCUUGAUACUGCAAAUCUCGAGUCCGAUAGAGGUGAGUGGAAUUCCUAGUGUAGAGGUGAAAUUCGUAGAUAUUAGGAAGAACACCAGUGGCGAAGGCGGCUCACUGGAUCGGUACUGACGCUGAGGUGCGAAAGCGUGGGGAGCAAACAGGAUUAGAUACCCCCGUAGUCCCUGAGCGGGCUGGCAAGGCGCAU
This 447-nucleotide ribosomal RNA is filed under the name uncultured bacterium. Its description in RNAcentral is "bacterial SSU rRNA". It matches the Rfam family "Bacterial small subunit ribosomal RNA", at positions 355 to 825 of the family's 1533-position model. The record is from RNAcentral.